GCUGAGGUGGUGGAACGGCAGACACGCAGGUCUCAGAAGCCUGUGCCCGCAAGGGUGUGUGGGUUCAAAUCCCGUCCUCAGCA
This 83-nucleotide transfer RNA is filed under the name Candidatus Endomicrobium embiratermitis. Its description in RNAcentral is "tRNA-Leu". It matches the Rfam family "tRNA". Rfam says of the family: Transfer RNA (tRNA) molecules are approximately 80 nucleotides in length. RNAcentral also lists the same sequence under 1 other name. The record is from RNAcentral. Lineage: Bacteria; Pseudomonadati; Elusimicrobiota; Endomicrobiia; Endomicrobiales; Endomicrobiaceae.